GCCGGGUGUGGUGGCACGCACCUGUAAUCCCAGCAACUUGGGAGGCUGAGGCAGAAGAAUUGCUUGAACCCGGGAGGCAGAGGCUGCAGUGAGCUGAUAUCAUGUCACUGCAUUCCCGCCUGGAUGACAGAGCAAGAUUCCGUCUCAA
This is an unclassified non-coding RNA of Macaca fascicularis (crab-eating macaque), 148 nucleotides long. It matches the Rfam family "Metazoan signal recognition particle RNA". From Rfam's summary of the family: The signal recognition particle (SRP) is a universally conserved ribonucleoprotein. It is involved in the co-translational targeting of proteins to membranes. The record is from Ensembl. NCBI's taxonomy places the organism in Eukaryota, Metazoa, Chordata, Mammalia, Primates, Cercopithecidae.